This 1900-nucleotide unclassified non-coding RNA is filed under the name Daphnia pulex (common water flea). RNAcentral describes it as "g2/mitotic-specific cyclin-B3-like, transcript variant X2". Lineage: Eukaryota; Metazoa; Arthropoda; Branchiopoda; Diplostraca; Daphniidae. The record is from RNAcentral.
CGUUGGUUCGCUGCAGUCAGUUUACUUUCGCGCUUUUAACUUGUCUCUAUUUCAGUUGAGUCGGUUGUAGAUCUCAGGACAACUCACAAGUCUAUGUUCGUUGGGGAAAGAAUUCGUGGAACAAGUAAUGAUUUUGUAAAUCACACUUGAAUAGUCAACAUUAUUUCUGCCCCUCAAUUGGAUUGAAAGGAAUAGGGGUCAAAGCUUGUUCCUACUAUUUUAUUGCAUUUUUGAUUGAAUAACCCAUCUGGGAAUUUGAAUUCAAACACAUCAUGGCACCCACCAAACCUUCAGGCAUUACUCAGAUGGUAACAAGAAUGAGGGCUGCUGCGAACCCCAGAGCUACUGCGAAUCCAUCUAAAGCUGUAGCUGAAAACAACAGCCUCGUCAACAAGAAGAGGAAAGCUGAGACGGUCUUGACUUCAGAUAACAAGAAGCGUUCAGCUUUGGGAGACCUUACUAAUGCUAACAGCAAACUUCAAGAUGCCAAGAAAGCUGCCAAGGCAGCAAAGGUCUCAUCUCUUACUAAUAGCACUAAUCUUGCUAGGCCUCAAUUGUCACGCCCUUCAACUAAAGCACUUACCUUGAAUGUAGUCAAAGAGGAUGUUAAAGUACCUGAGCAGAUUGAUUCAGAGGCAACUAUUUACUUCUCUCCUGAGAAUGCCAAGCCAAAGAGGAAGCUUCCUCCCAAUGUUGAAGAUUUUGACAGUGAGUGUGGAACUGAUCCUUUCCAGACACCUCAGUAUGCCCAAGAUAUCUUCCUUUACUUUAAGCAACGCGAGUUGAAAUUUAUUCCUCGUCGUUACAUGGACCAGCAGACAGAGCUAACUUGCGACAUGCGAGCAGUUUUGGUCGACUGGCUGGUGGAAGUGCAAGAAAGUUUCGAACUCAAUCACGAAACUCUUUAUUCUGCUGUGCGUCUCGUUGAUCUCUACCUCUCUCACACUACCGUCAAUAAGGAAAAUCUCCAGUUAGUCGGAACCACUGCCAUGCUUAUUAGCUCAAAAUUUGAAGAACGUUGCCCACCAUGUGUCGAUGAUUUCCUCUACAUUUGUGAUGAUGCCUACACCCGUAGAGAUCUUAUCAAGAUGGAGAUGAGCAUUCUCAAAGCAGUCGAUUUCGAUAUUGGCCUCCCAUUGUCCUACAGUUUCCUUCGUCGCUACGCUAGAGUAAGCAAGGCUAGCAUGGAGACUUUAACACUGGCACGUUUCAUCCUCGAAACAUCACUGAUGGAGUAUGACUUGAUAAACGUCAAGGACUCCCUUAUGGCCGCUUCCGCCCUUAUGAUGGCCUUCCAGAUGCAGAACUCUGGUGAAUGGACGCCGACACUGGAGUACUAUAGCAGUUUUACUAAGGCAGAACUUCGCGAAACAACCUGCCGCCUACAUGCUAUGCUGAUCAAGCUGCAGUCAAAAAAUCUUAAGACCAUCCGUAAUAAGUACUCUCACAAAGUCUUUUAUGAAGUUGCCAAGAUUGCUCUUCCUGCUGAAAUGGAAUUUUAAAAUUCGUGACUUGCUCAUAUAAGAAACUGCCAUCGCGCGACUCUUGGAUUUCCUUGAUUUUUUUUUUUUCGAUUUGGCGUCAUUGUUAUUUCCUGAAAUUUAUUGAUUCCUGUGCUUACAUUCAUUUGUCUUUCCUUUUCUGUUCUUCUUCUACCUUUUCUGUCUGUCAUCUGUCAAUCUAAUUUUUUUACACGAUUCCAACUACCAACCAAUGACGAGUAGCGUAUUCCAAAAAACUUAAAUAAGAAAAGAUCUUGAUUAAAUUUCCUACUACUAGAUAAGAAAAUUGAAUAGUCCCAACCGUACACAUGCAUAUACACACACACCGUACACGAGCACACAGUCCUCUGUAAUUCAUCCCCCCUCCCUCCAAAUACACUGGAACGUUGGAGAAAGAA